UACGGGGGGGGCAAGCGUUGUUCGGAAUUACUGGGCGUAAAGGGCUCGUAGGCGGCCAACUAAGUCAGACGUGAAAUCCCUCGGCUUAACCGGGGAACUGCGUCUGAUACUGGAUGGCUUGAGGUUGGGAGAGGGAUGCGGAAUUCCAGGUGUAGCGGUGAAAUGCGCAGAUAUCAGGAGGAACACCGGUGGCGAAGGCGGGUCUCUGGGCCGAUACUGACGCUGAGGAGCGAAAGCGUGGGGAGCAAACAGG
This 253-nucleotide ribosomal RNA is filed under the name uncultured bacterium. RNAcentral's name for it is "partial 16S ribosomal RNA". It matches the Rfam family "Bacterial small subunit ribosomal RNA", at positions 524 to 776 of the family's 1533-position model. The record is from RNAcentral.